UACGGAGGUGGCAAGCGUUGCUCGGAAUCACUGGGCGUAAAGGGCGCGUAGGCGGUCCAGUAAGCGGGUGGUGAAAGCUCGGGGCUCAACCCCGAGUCGGCCGUGCGAACUGCUGGACUGGAGCACUGUAGAGGCAGGUGGAAUUCCGGGUGUAGCGGUGGAAUGCGUAGAGAUCCGGAAGAACACCAGGGGCGAAGGCGGCCUGCUGGGCAGUGGCUGACGCUGAGGCGCGACAGCGUGGGGAGCAAACAGG
This 253-nucleotide ribosomal RNA is filed under the name uncultured bacterium. Its description in RNAcentral is "partial 16S ribosomal RNA". It matches the Rfam family "Bacterial small subunit ribosomal RNA", at positions 524 to 776 of the family's 1533-position model. The record is from RNAcentral.